RNAcentral lists this ribosomal RNA (500 nucleotides) under uncultured bacterium. RNAcentral's name for it is "partial 16S ribosomal RNA". It matches the Rfam family "Bacterial small subunit ribosomal RNA", at positions 30 to 523 of the family's 1533-position model. The record is from RNAcentral.
AUUGAACGCUGGCGGCAUGCCUUACACAUGCAAGUCGAACGGUAACGGGUCCUUCGGGAUGCCGACGAGUGGCGAACGGGUGAGUAAUAUAUCGGAACGUGCCCAGGAGUGGGGGAUAACUGCUCGAAAGAGCAGCUAAUACCGCAUACGACCUGAGGGUGAAAGGGGGGGAUCGCAAGACCUCUCGCUAUUGGAGCGGCCGAUAUCAGGUUAGCUAGUUGGUGGGGUAAAGGCCUACCAAGGCAACGAUCUGUAGUUGGUCUGAGAGGACGACCAUCCACACUGGGACUGAGACACGGCCUAGACUCCUACGGGAGGCAGCAGUGGGGAAUUUUGGACAAUGGGCGCAAGCCUGAUCCAGCAAUGCCGCGUGCAGGAAGAAGGCCUUCGGGUUGUAAACUGCUUUUGUCAGGGAAGAAAUCGUCUGGGCUAAUACCCCGGGAGGAUGACGGUACCUGAAGAAUAAGCACCGGCUAACUACGUGCCAGCCGCCGCCGUAA